This 253-nucleotide ribosomal RNA is filed under the name uncultured bacterium. Its description in RNAcentral is "partial 16S ribosomal RNA". It matches the Rfam family "Bacterial small subunit ribosomal RNA", at positions 524 to 776 of the family's 1533-position model. The record is from RNAcentral.
UACAGAGGGGGCAAGCGUUAUUCGGAAUUAUUGGGCGUAAAGGGCGCGUAGGCGGCUUUUCAAGUGACGGGUGAAAUCCCUCGGCUUAACCGAGGAACUGCCUGUCAGACUGGAAGGCUUGAGACCGGGAGAGGUGAGUGGAAUUCCCAGUGUAGCGGUGAAAUGCGUAGAUAUUAGGAAGAACACCAGUGGCGAAGGCGGCUCACUGGCCCGGUACUGACGCUGAGGCGCGAAAGCGUGGGGAGCAAACAGG